This 551-nucleotide ribosomal RNA is filed under the name uncultured Glomus. RNAcentral's name for it is "SSU rRNA". It matches the Rfam family "Eukaryotic small subunit ribosomal RNA", at positions 569 to 1113 of the family's 1831-position model. Lineage: Eukaryota; Fungi; Glomeromycota; Glomeromycetes; Glomerales; Glomeraceae. The record is from RNAcentral.
AGCAGCCGCGGUAAUUCCAGCUCCAAUAGCGUAUAUUAAAGUUGUUGCAGUUAAAAAGCUCGUAGUUGAAUUUCGGGGUUAGUAGGUUGGUCAUGCCUCUGGUAUGUACUGGUCUCACUGAUUCCUCCUUCCUGAUGAACCUUAAUGCCAUUAAUUUGGUGUUUUGGGGAAUUUGGACUGUUACUUUGAAAAAAUUAGAGUGUUUAAAGCAAGCUAACGCUUGAAUACAUUAGCAUGGAAUAAUGAAAUAGGACGUUCGAUCCUAUUUUGUUGGUUUCUAGGAUUGACGUAAUGAUUAAUAGGGAUAGUUGGGGGGCAUUAGUAUUCAAUUGUCAGAGGUGAAAUUCUUGGAUUUAUUGAAGACUAACUACUGCGAAAGCAUUUGCCAAGGAUGUUUUCAUUAAUCAAGAACGAAAGUUAGGGGAUCGAAGACGAUCAGAUACCGUCGUAGUCUUAACCAUAAACUAUGCCGACUAGGGAUCGGGUGAUGUUAAUUUUUAAUGUACUACUAUUCGGCGCCGUUACGGGAAACCUAAAGGUUGUUUAGGGUU